GAGUCUUCCCUGAUACUUUAAGUAUCCUAAAGGGUUGUCGGAGACUACGACGUUGAUAGGUCAGGUGUGUAAGUGCUGUGAGGCAUUGAGCUAACUGAUACUAAUUGCCCGUGAGGCUUAACCAUACAACACCCAAGGGGUUU
Molecule: ribosomal RNA, 143 nt
Filed under: Vibrio parahaemolyticus
Lineage: Bacteria; Pseudomonadati; Pseudomonadota; Gammaproteobacteria; Vibrionales; Vibrionaceae
Description: partial 23S ribosomal RNA
Rfam family: Bacterial large subunit ribosomal RNA (bases 1-125)
Source: RNAcentral